GACGAACGCUGGCGGCGUGCUUAACACAUGCAAGUCGAACGGAAAGGCCCUGCUUUUGUGGGGUGCUCGAGUGGCGAACGGGUGAGUAACACGUGAGUAACCUGCCCUUGACUUUGGGAUAACUUCAGGAAACUGGGGGUAAUACCGGAUAGGAGCUCCUGCUGCAUGGUGGGGGUUGGAAAGGUUCGGCGGUUGGGGAUGGACUCGCGGCUUAUCAGCUUGUUGGUGGGGUAGUGGCUUACCAAGGCUUUGACGGGUAGCCGGCCUGAGAGGGUGACCGGCCACAUUGGGACUGAGAUACGGCCCAGACUCCUACGGGAGGCAGCAGUGGGGAAUAUUGCACAAUGGGCGGAAGCCUGAUGCAGCAACGCCGCGUGCGGGAUGACGGCCUUCGGGUUGUAAACCGCUUUCGCCUGUGACGAAGCGUGAGUGACGGUAAUGGGUAAAGAAGCACCGGCUAACUACGUG
Molecule: ribosomal RNA, 468 nt
Filed under: uncultured bacterium
Lineage: Bacteria
Description: partial 16S ribosomal RNA
Rfam family: Bacterial small subunit ribosomal RNA
Source: RNAcentral